This 620-nucleotide long non-coding RNA is filed under the name Callithrix jacchus (white-tufted-ear marmoset). RNAcentral's name for it is "lncRNA (ENSCJAG00000079587.1)". The record is from RNAcentral. Lineage: Eukaryota; Metazoa; Chordata; Mammalia; Primates; Cebidae.
UGUUGAUUUUAAAGUAACACCUAUUUUUAAAGGGACUGGUUAGCCCAGAAUAUGUAUAGCAUUUAAUAAUAUGAUUUAAAUACAUUUAAGGAAACUAAUUUCUACACUUUGGGACACACUGACAGGCAGGAAAUGAGAGAUGUAAAGAUGAAAUGGUGUUAACAAAAAACUGGGAAACACGGAGAAAGGCUCAGGAAUUACUGAGGAGGUUCUUUUUUACUUUGGUAAUGUGUUAAAGUCUCCAAUUUAACUGUUUUAGUGAUCUGGAAUGAUGCUUCCAUGGAAAGGCUUUGGUAAACCUCGGAGGAAGACCAGUGAUACUUGAUGAGGUAUCUGUGAUUUGAAAAGGAGAAGGGAAGGAUUAAGUUUCAACAUGAAUUUUGGAGGAGACACCAUCAUUCAAACCAUAGCACCAUCUUUUGGGAUCUAUGGUUGAUUUGGAUUUCCUGGAGUUCUCUUUGAAGAAAAUAAAGGUGUUCAGCUUGACUGAUCUACAAAUAAGCAGUAGCAUGAUAUCCAUCUACUGGUAUUUGAAAGAGUAAACAAAAAGAAAUGAAGAAAUUUAGGAAGGAUAAAAAUUAUUACAUCAGUAUUAGGGAUAAAACGGACACCAAACCUCA